Molecule: ribosomal RNA, 522 nt
Filed under: uncultured eukaryote
Lineage: Eukaryota
Description: eukaryotic LSU rRNA
Rfam family: Eukaryotic large subunit ribosomal RNA
Source: RNAcentral
GGAGUCUAGCACAUAUGCGAGUUUGCGGGUGGAAAAACCCAUAGGCUCAACGAAAGUGAGUAUAAGAUGUGAAACCGCAAGGUGACAACAUCGGCCGACCUUGAACUUCUGGGAAGGGAUCGAGCAAGAGCAUAUUUGCUAGGACCCGAAAGAUGGUGAACUAUACUUGAGUAGGGUGAAGCCAGGGGAAACUCUGGUGGAAGCUCGUAGCGAUACUGACGUGCAAAAUCGUUCGUCAAAACUUGAGUAUAGGGGCGCUAGACUAAUCGAACCAUCUAGUAGCUGGUUCCCUCUGAAGUUUCUCUCAGGAUAGCAAGGACAAAUAUGUCAGUUUUAUCAGGUAAAGCGAAUGAUUAGAGGAAUCGGGGGUCCAAGACCCUUGACCUAUUCUCAAACUUUAAAUUGGUAAGAACCAUUAGUUUUCUUAAUUGAACUAGUGGGUAGAAUGCAUUGUCCUUAGUGGGCCAUUUUUGGUAAGCAGAACUGGCGAUGAGGGAUGAACCUACGCUAAGUUAAGGCGCC